Suricata suricatta (meerkat) is the source of this 104-nucleotide small nuclear RNA. The record is from Ensembl. NCBI's taxonomy places the organism in Eukaryota, Metazoa, Chordata, Mammalia, Carnivora, Herpestidae.
AAAAAUUAUGUUUGCUUUAAUAAAUAAAAUUGGAAUGCUAGGGAAGCUGAACAUGGCCCCUGUGUAAGGAUGGCAUGCAAAUUUGUGGAGUGGUCCAUAUUUUU